UAUCGAAUUCAUAGUCGAUAUGCACUGCAGGUAUACAUUAUUUAUAUAGGCAUGAGUAUUGUCAAUACUUAACACAUAGUACUUAGCACUUAAUAAUCAUGAAUAAGCGUGUCCUAGAUUUAUUCAAUUACGUAUUCCUAUAUGGAACACUCACCUAGUCAAACAAGCGCGAUAGGUCUCAAACAAGCGUUUUAGGCAUCCGCUCCGAGUUCCUCUUGGAGAUCUCCUCGAUUACCUGAGCAAACAAUAAUUCAAGUACCACUCAAUAUCGCUACGAAUUCUCUAGUUUUCGAUGAAGAUUGUACGCUAGUGCAAUCUAAGAAAUUAACGCGGAGACGAGCCUAAGAAUUCGUGUAACUCGAGGUUCAAAAGUGGGGUUUUAAAACACAAGACAAAUCUGAUUUCCAUCUCUGGAUUCAAAUGUAAAACAAUCAAAUGAUAUUGAAAGAAGUGAAGAGUUCGAAACCCCCUUAGUUUCCUUUAAGUUAGAAAAUUCCAGAUUUAACAAGUAAUUUUUGAAAAAUCAUAUCUUACUCUCUGCAAGCCCAAAAUUGGAAAGCUUGAUACUAUUGAAAACCUCUUUGAAAGUACUAAAAGUUCUUAUAAUACACUUUUCUAAGAUUGCACAUGGAAAACAUUCAAAAAUAAGCUCAAAGUCUCUGUUUUGGUUCAUAAGGCAGAUUUAAGUUGAUUUUUGGCCAACUUUGAAAAUUCGGCAAAAUUCACUUGAUUGGAACUAGCUUUUGAAAUUUGGUACUAUUUUAGAGUUACAAUCCAAGUUUAUAGUAAAACAAGCGCAAUGAGAAAUGGAGUUUUGAGUACUAUGAUAUGGCAACUCAAAGUUACCAGAAUUUUAAGGCAAAGCUGCCUUGUAUAUGAAAAUUUCCUUUUCCAAACUUUUGACCAAGGGAAAAUCCUCUAAACAUGGUUCAUUUGUUUAGGCGCAAUCUAAAGAACAUUCAUGGUACCUUUGGUGGGUGUCUAACUCCAAGAAAUUUAAUUAUCAAGUCUAUACCAAGCCUUGCAUCAAAUCUGUCUAAAAACCAGGGUUUUCAAGAGCAGGGCAGGUUCCGUAUUUUGAUCACAAGUCACUCCAAUUAACUCGGAAUUGGGCAUGGUUGAAGGCGUUGGAAAAAAAAUUCAUAAAGCUAUAAUUUCACAGAAGAAAUCAUUUUGAAAUUAGGCGCGCAACUAGCUCGAAUUCGAGCCACAAGUUGCAGCCUCAGCAUUUUGUUCUUGUAAAAUAGAGAAACAGAACAGCCGACUUAAAAUGGUUGGUUCGGCUCACGUACAUGGAACCAGAAUGUGCAUUUUAUACCGUCGGAAAGUUUGGAAUGUUUAGUUUCAAAUGCCGCUGACGGCACUCGAUUUCGACAUCGGAGCUCAAAAUUAUGGCCGAAAUACGAAAGCUGGUCAGAGCAUUUCGGAAAUAGUUCCAGAUUUACUAGCUUUGUGAAAUCAAUUUAUUUGACCAACCAAACCUCAAUAUUUUUCAAUGAAACUUAUACACCAUAUAUUCAACAUAUCAACGUGAUAUACAAGUCAUGAAACCCUCAAAAUUUUGCAAAAAAGGGUGCGAUUAAAACAGGGCAAAUCUGAACAUUUUUGAACUAUGCAUCUCUUGGAGUCCAGACUAGCUAGGUAUCAUUAAUCUACCUAUUUAAACACUAACUAGCAUUAUAUCCAUCAUCAAUCCAAGGGUGGGAGUUCAUAGAGCCCACCAUCAAAAUUUUCCGACAUGAAAUAAAGCAAAUAGCAUGUGAUUUUGGCAAAUAAUUCCACCACAAUAAAUCUGUCCUCGGCUAAACAGAAUUUCCAGCAGCUAAUUGGUCAUAAAUCCAACUUUUUACUCGGCUAAAACAUGAUAUUAAGUACUCAAUUUCGGCAUGCAAUUUCUUAACUAGCCAAUUAACAUUUCCAGUUCAAAAUUAGAUUCAAACAACAGUUAUAAUCAUCCCAAAAAUUCCAGAAUUUGUUCACCUAUUCUCGGCUAGAUUGCAUGCAACAGAUUCCUUGUUUCCUUUUCUUUUUCUUACUUAACCGAGCUAAAGAACGGCAUGCAAAGCUUAAACACUUAAUUCUUAGUUAGUUAAUCGCAAUUACAAGCUCAGAUUACUUCAAUUAAGCAAGAUCAAGUAUGCAUUUCUGAUUCAAGCUCACGGCAAUAUCCAUUUCCAUCAAACCAGAUUUUCCUCAUGCUUUGAUUUCAUCGACCAAACGCACAAACUCAACAUGCAAGCUUUUAAACAGCUUCUUCUACCAGUAAUUAGUUAAUCUAAGUCUCGAAUUUACCUCAGCUAGAAGGUCAGUUCAUGCAACAAGAAAAGCUGAAAUUUCUCUCCUCUCGGCUAAGCUCACGCACGCGAUGGUUGCAGCUGUGGUGUUGCGGUUGGAAGAUGAUGGCAGCUGGUUGGGGUGAAGGUGCAGAUUGAAACGGUCAGCUCGCGGUUGGGAGGAGGAAGGUGAUGCAGCUCUCGCAGUUCCCUCACAAUCACUCGCGGACAGUUUGAGAAGGCAGGUUGCGUAGCUUCCUUUCUUGUUCAAGCUUCUGAUCAGAAGGAAAAGGAAAAGCUCGGCUUUCUCUCUUGGCUAUGAUCACGAGGUAAGGGAUAAUGGUGUGGGACAAUUGUGGUUGUGAUUAAGGCUGAGGUAGUGGGGAU
This 2660-nucleotide long non-coding RNA is filed under the name Coffea arabica (coffee). RNAcentral describes it as "long non-coding RNA (CARA_LNC002956)". The record is from RNAcentral. Lineage: Eukaryota; Viridiplantae; Streptophyta; Magnoliopsida; Gentianales; Rubiaceae.